RNAcentral lists this ribosomal RNA (66 nucleotides) under uncultured bacterium. RNAcentral's name for it is "partial 16S ribosomal RNA". The record is from RNAcentral.
UUCUAGAAGUCGGUGCGCCAACCUCGUGGAGGUAGCCGCCUAAAGAGUGGAAUGGUGACUGGGGUG